This is a long non-coding RNA of Populus euphratica (Euphrates poplar), 227 nucleotides long. RefSeq lists it as uncharacterized. The record is from RefSeq and is a predicted model, not a curated record. The transcript has 2 exons. Lineage: Eukaryota; Viridiplantae; Streptophyta; Magnoliopsida; Malpighiales; Salicaceae.
UCUAAAAAGAAAUUUAUGUUUUCAUUCGAGACAUUUGUGUGAAAAUGGCGUUGGCCUUCAAGGAGACGAGAAGGAGAAAACCCAACUCGUUUCAUCCGAAUAGACUUUGUUUCAACAGGCAGAUGUACAUGAUACAAAACAUACAACGCAUUCAUGAAAUCAACACAAACGAAACACUGAGCUUAUGCCAUGCAUUUGGAAUGAUUUGCAUCGCAUAACCACUCCGC